UACGAAGGGUGCUAGCGUUGUUCGGAAUUACUGGGCGUAAAGGGCGCGUAGGCGGCUUUACAAGUCAGGGGUGAAAUCCCACGGCUCAACCGUGGAAUUGCCUUUGAAACUGUAAAGCUAGAGUGUCGGAGGGGAUAGCGGAAUUGCUAAUGUAGAGGUGAAAUUCGUAGAUAUUGGGAAGAACACCGGUGGCGAAGGCGGCUCACUGGCUCGUUUCUGACGCUCAGGCGCGACAGCGUGGGGAUCAAACAGG
RNAcentral lists this ribosomal RNA (253 nucleotides) under uncultured bacterium. Its description in RNAcentral is "partial 16S ribosomal RNA". It matches the Rfam family "Bacterial small subunit ribosomal RNA", at positions 524 to 776 of the family's 1533-position model. The record is from RNAcentral.